UCAGGAAGGGUGCCUUCCCUCUCUAAGCCCCGCGUGCACUGCAGGUCUGGAAACCACUCCUCCUGGGGAGACGAGUCAUUUCCAGAGACUUCUUUCUGCAAGGCCUGCAGAACUGACAUUUCGUACCCAAACCUGAAAGCUCGAGCCAGGAGGAUGGGGAAAGAAGAUGAAUUCGAAGAGCUUAUGAUAAGCAGUCAGUCUAUUCUCCCCCCAGAGGUGCUUCAGAAAUUAAAAUAAAAACUCAGCAGGAACGAGCACCUGGAGGCCUGCCUCCUUUCCCUGGGCUGUGACGUGACAGCAAGAGAGUGCGGCAACUUCGAGAGCUGCUCCAUGUGUUCCGAGCACAUGUUGGAGCACGCGAGGCAGAAGCUCUGUCAGAAGGAGCAGCAGGAGCAGCUGUGGGACUUGGAGCAGAACAGCAGCCUGACCGCCCUGGUGAGCCAAGUGCUGAGCCUGGGCCACUUCUGGCUGGCUGAGCAUGGUGAGAAGGAAUGUUCGCAGGAAGCUACACAAAGUAAAAAGAAAAGUGUUUUAGCAUCAAGCUAAUGGCAGAACAAGAAGAGGUUUUGUUUCAUCUGCAGUUAGUGGCCCUGAGGCAGGCCCUUCCCCGGGGUCCCAGGCCGAAAACCUGAGGAGGUGUGAGCAGCAGGAAAGCAAGCUAGUUUGGAAGUCAAAGCAGAGGCAAGAGUAGACCCUCCCUUCGCCUCUUAUCAUGCAGCUUGGAUCAGCCCCCUCCCCAGGUAAACCCCUCCCUGCUCGCUCAUGACAAGUGCCCAGUGACAGUGCAGAUGCAGUUUGAGAUCGAUGAGGCUCUGGUUAAUAAGGUAAGCAACAUACA
This is a long non-coding RNA of Phyllostomus hastatus (greater spear-nosed bat), 838 nucleotides long. RefSeq lists it as uncharacterized. The transcript is spliced from 6 exons. Lineage: Eukaryota; Metazoa; Chordata; Mammalia; Chiroptera; Phyllostomidae. The record is from RefSeq and is a predicted model, not a curated record.